RNAcentral lists this long non-coding RNA (1190 nucleotides) under Homo sapiens (human). Its description in RNAcentral is "HSALNT0200482". The record is from RNAcentral. Lineage: Eukaryota; Metazoa; Chordata; Mammalia; Primates; Hominidae.
ACUAUUCAAUAUUUUGAUCAUUUAUAUAUUUUCUCUUUUAAAUACUAUAGUGACAAAUAUCCUUGUAGUUACACUUUAGCGCGUAUCUGUAAUAUUUCCUUAGAACAAAUUCCUAGGAACAGUUUCCGGGUUAGAGGCAUAGAUUGCAUAUGACCUAUCCUCCAGCUUACCUCUUUACCCACUUUUGCCAAGCCCCCACUAAAGCAUAUCAACAAAUAGCUCAAUUACUCUUCUACCUGGGUAAGCCUUAUUUUAUCUAUUUUGCUUUUUCUGAAUCUAUUUCUAUGAGCCUUUAUGUGCAGAAAUGUAUCUAGCCACACACUGACUGCUAGAUAUUUGGCCUAGAUCAUCUGAUACUGGGAAACAAUCAGUUGUUAGCCUUAACUAGCCACAUUUACAGAGCAAUCACAUCAAAAAUAACUUAAUUGUCUCAGUUAUCUUUUACUUGGUGGUCACUGACCCACCUAUGUCUUUUCCAUCAUCAUUAGGAUCAUCACUAUAUUUUUACACUUGCUAAUAUUUGUAAGCAUUUGUUAAAUAUGUACUAUGUUCCAGGCACUGUGCCUGACACUUUUCUCAUAUUACCUCACUUAAUCUUUGAGAUGUAUGUAGUAGCCCUCAUUUUAUAGGUGGGGAAAAGUUAGUGUGGCAGAAUCUGAAUUUGAAUCCAGUUCUACACAACACCAACACUCUUUCUGUUAAGCUAUACUGCCUGUCGACUCUAGGAUAACCAGUAGGGCCUAUGAGUAUAUCCUUUGUAGCAGUGGUAAGAACUUAGUGGGGAACAAGACAUGGGAAUCAUGGAACAGAAUAACUCAUUCAAUCAGUCAAUAAAAAAAUUACUGAAUGCCAACUGUAUUUCCAGCAUUAUUUCAGGUGGUGGGAAAACAACAGUGAACAAUUGCUAAAUUUACGUUUCCACAUUUUGCUAUUCUUGUAUUUAAUUGGGAACAAAAACCAUUCUUUAGACUCAUGCAAGUAUAGCAUAUUUAAACAGUACCUUCAUUAAAUUAUUAAAGUUGUGUGCUAUUUUCCUAACUAGAGUAUAAUAAUUUGAUACUGUUUUAUAAAAUAUAUAAAACUUCAAUGCUUCCUUGCCAACUAACUUCAGUUUUAGAAAUAAGAUUUUUUUAUUUUAAAAAGUAAGAUGGUUCCUUCAAGACUCUCAAGAAUCUUCAAGUGCCUCUUUU